UUCUCCUCUGACUUGGGCUUAGGCAGGUCCCCAGCUUCUUCUAAAGGACUUUCAGACUUUUCAUCGAUAACAUCUACAACCCCAAGUGCAUCAUCCUUACCAUUUUCAAUAUCAUUCUCCUCAUCAUUCUCAACUUCAUCUCCAUCUGUCAGAUCUCCAUCUCUCACCUCAACUUCACAUCCAUCUUCAUAGUCCAUCUCAUCAAAAGCUUGCAGCUUUCGCUUCUGUGCAUCCAGACCAAAAUCCUUAAGCCCCUUCACCAUCAU
RNAcentral lists this long non-coding RNA (266 nucleotides) under Malus domestica (apple). Its description in RNAcentral is "long non-coding RNA (MDOM_LNC013745)". Lineage: Eukaryota; Viridiplantae; Streptophyta; Magnoliopsida; Rosales; Rosaceae. The record is from RNAcentral.